GAUGAAGAACGCAGUGAAAUGCGAUAACUAGUGUGAAUUGCAGAAUUCCGUGAAUCAUCGAGUCUUUGAACGCACAUUGCGCCCCCUGGUAUUCCGGGGGGCAUGCCUGUCCGAGCGUCAUUGCUGCCCAUCAAGCACGGCUUGUGUGUUGGGUCGUCGUCCCCCCCUCCGGGGGGGGACGGGCCCUAAAGGCAGCGGCGGCACCGCGUCCGAUCCUCGAGCGUAUGGGGCUUUGUCACCCGCUCUGUAGGCCCGGCCGGCGCUUGCCGAACGCAAAACAACCAUUCUUUCCAGGUUGACCUCGGAUCAGGUAGGGAUACCCGCUGAACUUAAGCAUAUCAAUAAGCGGAGGA
RNAcentral lists this unclassified non-coding RNA (353 nucleotides) under soil metagenome. RNAcentral describes it as "partial contains 5.8S ribosomal RNA, internal transcribed spacer 2, and large subunit ribosomal RNA". The stretch from base 1 to 120 matches the Rfam family "5.8S ribosomal RNA", at positions 35 to 154 of the family's 154-position model. The record is from RNAcentral.